GGGAACCAAUUAACCAUAAUCUCAAAGAAAAGUGCCAAGCUGAGAACAUAGAAAGGGGAAAACAGUUUUCCUCAAUUUCUCUCAGAUUAAUACCCAACAAAGAAAGAAAAAAAAGCCACCUUUGAAAUUGAAGAAAUACAAGAGAGAGACGGUAAGAAGAUUUACAUAAACGAAGAUUUGCAGUUUCUUUUUUGGUGCUCGUCUGGCUUUCUUUUGUUUUUCCUGUCUCUCCCGUUUUUAUGUUCACGACUUGUCUGUCUGAUCGUUUGCCUUUGUUUAUUUCACUUUUUAUUCACGUAUUUAUCACCCUUCUUUAUAUCCUCCACGUAUCUUAAUUAAAUCUAACUUGUUCACUUCAAUCACAUAUUGUAUCUUCAUUAGUCUUCA
Arabidopsis thaliana (thale cress) is the source of this 387-nucleotide long non-coding RNA. RefSeq annotates it as other RNA. The record is from RefSeq. Lineage: Eukaryota; Viridiplantae; Streptophyta; Magnoliopsida; Brassicales; Brassicaceae. The transcript has a single exon.